UCGUGUCGUGAGAUGUUGGGUUAAGUCCCGCAACGAGCGCAACCCUCACCUCUUGUUGCCACCAGGUCAUGCUGGGCACUCUAGAGGAACUGCCCCGGUCAACGGGGAGGAAGGCGGGGAUGACGUCAAGUCAUCAUGCCCCUUACGUCCUGGGCUACACACGUGCUACAAUGGCCGGUACAAAGGGAUGCCACACCGCGAGGUAGAGCUAAACCCAAAAAGCCGGUCUAAGUUACAGAUUGGAGUUCUGCAACUUCGACUUCCAUGAAGGAGGAAUCGCUAGUAAAUCGC
Molecule: ribosomal RNA, 291 nt
Filed under: uncultured Methylomirabilota bacterium
Lineage: Bacteria; Methylomirabilota (SeqCode)
Description: uncultured candidate division NC10 bacterium partial 16S ribosomal RNA
Rfam family: Bacterial small subunit ribosomal RNA
Source: RNAcentral